Molecule: ribosomal RNA, 422 nt
Filed under: uncultured bacterium
Lineage: Bacteria
Description: bacterial SSU rRNA
Rfam family: Bacterial small subunit ribosomal RNA
Source: RNAcentral
UGAGGAAUAUUGGACAAUGGGCGCAAGCCUGAUCCAGCCAUGCCGCGUGCAGGAUGACGGUCCUAUGGAUUGUAAACUGCUUUUGUACGAGAAGAAACACUCCUUCGUGAAGGAGCUUGACGGUAUCGUAAGAAUAAGGAUCGGCUAACUCCGUGCCAGCAGCCGCGGUAAUACGGAGGAUCCAAGCGUUAUCCGGAAUCAUUGGGUUUAAAGGGUCCGUAGGCGGUUUAGUAAGUCAGUGGUGAAAGCCCAUCGCUCAACGGUGGAACGGCCAUUGAUACUGCUAAACUUGAAUUAUUAGGAAGUAACUAGAAUAUGUAGUGUAGCGGUGAAAUGCUUAGAGAUUACAUGGAAUACCAAUUGCGAAGGCAGGUUACUACUAAUGGAUUGACGCUGAUGGACGAAAGCGUGGGUAGCGAACA